Molecule: ribosomal RNA, 138 nt
Filed under: uncultured eukaryote
Lineage: Eukaryota
Description: partial 18S ribosomal RNA
Rfam family: Eukaryotic small subunit ribosomal RNA
Source: RNAcentral
UGGUGGAGCGAUUUGUCUGGUUAAUUCCGAUGACGAACGAGACUCUGGCCUAUUAAAUAGUUCGCCGAUUCCGAUCUGUCGGCGUUAACUUCUUAGAGGGACAAGUGGCUUUUAGCCACGCGAGAUUGAGCAAUAACA